This 467-nucleotide ribosomal RNA is filed under the name uncultured bacterium. RNAcentral describes it as "partial 16S ribosomal RNA". It matches the Rfam family "Bacterial small subunit ribosomal RNA", at positions 28 to 507 of the family's 1533-position model. The record is from RNAcentral.
GACGAACGCUGGCGGCGUGCUUAACACAUGCAAGUCGAACGGAAAGGCCCUGCUUUUGUGGGGUGCUCGAGUGGCGAACGGGUGAGUAACACGUGAGUAACCUGCCCUUGACUUUGGGAUAACUUCAGGAAACUGGGGCUAAUACCGGAUAGGAGCUCCUGCUGCAUGGUGGGGGUUGGAAAGUUUCGGCGGUUGGGGAUGGACUCGCGGCUUAUCAGCUUGUUGGUGGGGUAGUGGCUUACCAAGGCUUUGACGGGUAGCCGGCCUGAGAGGGUGACCGGCCACAUUGGGACUGAGAUACGGCCCAGACUCCUACGGGAGGCAGCAGUGGGGAAUAUUGCACAAGGGCGGAAGCCUGAUGCAGCAACGCCGCGUGCGGGAUGACGGCCUUCGGGUUGUAAACCGCUUUCGCCUGUGACGAAGCGUGGGUGACGGUAAUGGGUAAAGAAGCACCGGCUAACUACGUG